CGCGGCCUAUCAGCUUGUUGGUGAGGUAACGGCUCACCAAGGCAUCGACGGGUAGCUGGUCUGAGAGGACGAUCAGCCACACUGGGACUGAGACACGGCCCAGACUCCUACGGGAGGCAGCAGUGGGGAAUCUUGCGCAAUGGGCGAAAGCCUGACGCAGCAACGCCGCGUGAGGGAAGACGGCUCUCGGGUUGGAAACCUCUUUCCUCAGGGACGAAAUUGACGGUACCUGCAUAAGAAGCGCCGGCCAACUACGUGCCAACAACCGCGGUAACACGUACGGGGCAAGCGUUGUCCGGAUUUAUUGGGCGUAAAGAGCUCGUAGGCGGUUUCGUAAGUCGGGUGUGAAAACUCAGGGCUCAACUCUGAGACGCCACUCGAUACUGCGAUGACUUGACUCCGGUAGGGGAGCAGGGAAUUCCUGGUGUAGCAGUGAAAUGCGCAUAUAUCAGGAGGAACACCAUUAGCGAAGGCGCUGCUCUGGGCCGGUGCUGACGCUGACGAUCGAAAGCGUGCCGAGCGAACAGGAUUAGAUACCCUGGUAGUCCACGCCGUAAACGUUGGGCACUAGGUGUGGGUCUCAUCCUACGAGAUCCGUGCCGUAGCUAACGCAUUAAGUGCCCCGCCUGCUGAGUACGG
RNAcentral lists this ribosomal RNA (639 nucleotides) under uncultured bacterium. Its description in RNAcentral is "bacterial SSU rRNA". It matches the Rfam family "Bacterial small subunit ribosomal RNA", at positions 232 to 885 of the family's 1533-position model. The record is from RNAcentral.